This 264-nucleotide transfer-messenger RNA is filed under the name Actinomycetota bacterium. RNAcentral describes it as "Actinobacteria bacterium (sediment metagenome) partial transfer-messenger RNA". It matches the Rfam family "transfer-messenger RNA", at positions 82 to 374 of the family's 374-position model. Rfam says of the family: Bacterial tmRNA, also known as 10Sa RNA or SsrA, is named for its dual tRNA and mRNA-like properties. The record is from RNAcentral. Lineage: Bacteria; Bacillati; Actinomycetota.
AAAAAUAAACGCAAACGAAAAUUACGCACUAGCUGCUUAAUUGCAGCUACGCCAAUCUAGAGAUUGCCCACGUCUUUAGUGCGGCGUCGUUUAGUGGGCUUACCUUACCCCCACGCCCAUAAGGGUUUAGGGAAAGCAAUGGGCUAGCGGUCAAUCAUCCUGCCUGCGGGGAUGUUGGUCGCGAAAUUAUACCGCAGGAUACGCUCGUAGAUGCUCCUGUGGAAAUGCUUCAGGACGUGGGUUCGAUUCCCACCGCCUCCACCA